This 439-nucleotide ribosomal RNA is filed under the name uncultured bacterium. RNAcentral's name for it is "partial 16S ribosomal RNA". It matches the Rfam family "Bacterial small subunit ribosomal RNA", at positions 338 to 795 of the family's 1533-position model. The record is from RNAcentral.
CCUACGGGUGGCAGCAGUGGGGAAUAUUGCACAAUGGGCGAAAGCCUGAUGCAGCAACGCCGCGUGAGCGAUGAAGGCCUUCGGGGCGUAAAGCUCUGUCCUCAAGGAAGAUAAUGACGGUACUUGAGGAGGAAGCCCCGGCUAACUACGUGCCAGCAGCCGCGGUAAUCCGUAGGGGGCUAGCGUUAUCCGGAAUUACUGGGCGUAUAGGGUGCGUAGGUGGUUUCUUAAGUCAGAGGUGAAAGGCUAGGGCUCAACCGUAGUAAGCCUUUGAAACUGGGGAACUUGAGUGCAGGAGAGGAGAGUGGAAUUCAUGGUGUAGCGGUGAAAUGCGUAGAUAUUAGGAGGAACACCAGUCGCGAAGGCGGCUCUCUGGACUGUAACUGACACUGAGGCACGAAAGCGUGGGGAGCAAACAGGAUUAGAUACCCUGGUAGUC